CCUACGGGCGGCUGCAGUGAGGAAUAUUGGGCAAUGGGCGCAAGCCUGAACCAGCCAUGCCGCGUGAAGGAAGACGGCUCUCGGGUUGUAAACUUCUUUUUUUGCGGACGAAACCCUUGAUGCUACUCAAUAGCUAAGCCACCGCUAACUACGUGCCAGCAGCAGCGGUAAUACGUAGGUGGCAAGCGUUAUCGGGAUUUACUGGGUGUAAAGGGCGCGUAGGCGGAACUGCAAGUUAGAUGUGAAACGCAUGAGCUCAACCCAUGGCCUGCAUUUGAUACUGUAGUUCUUGAGUGAAGGUGAGGCAGGCGGAAUGCAGGGUGUAGCGGUGAAAUGCUUAGAGAUACGAAGGAACACCGAUGGCGAAGGCAGCUUGCUGGACAAUAUCUGACGCUGAGGCGCGAAAGCGUGGGGAGCAAACAGGAUUAGAUACCCCAGUAGUC
Molecule: ribosomal RNA, 443 nt
Filed under: uncultured bacterium
Lineage: Bacteria
Description: partial 16S ribosomal RNA
Rfam family: Bacterial small subunit ribosomal RNA
Source: RNAcentral